GUAAGGAAUAUUGGACAAUGGGGGAAACCCUGAUCCAGCCAUGCCGCGUGAGUGAAGAAGGCCUUCGGGUUGUAAAGCUCUUUCAGAUGUGAAGAUGAUGACGGUAACAUCAGAAGAAGCUCCGGCUAACUUCGUGCCAGCAGCCGCGGUAAUACGAAGGGAGCGAGCGUUGUUCGGAAUCACUGGGCGUAAAGAGUGCGUAGGCGGUUAUACAAGUCAGGAGUGAAAUCCCAGGGCUCAACCCUGGAAUUGCUUUUGAAACUGUAUAGCUAGAGUCCCGGAGGGGUUAAUGGAAUUCCGAGUGUAGAGGUGAAAUUCGCAGAUAUUCGGAGGAACACCAGUGGCGAAGGCGAUUAACUGGACGGGCACUGACGCUGAGGCACGAAAGCGUGGGGAUCAAACAGGAUUAGAAACCCCUGUAGUCC
RNAcentral lists this ribosomal RNA (425 nucleotides) under uncultured bacterium. RNAcentral describes it as "partial 16S ribosomal RNA". It matches the Rfam family "Bacterial small subunit ribosomal RNA", at positions 354 to 796 of the family's 1533-position model. The record is from RNAcentral.